This 7560-nucleotide long non-coding RNA is filed under the name Gossypium barbadense (sea-island cotton). RNAcentral's name for it is "long non-coding RNA (GBAR_LNC012493)". The record is from RNAcentral. Lineage: Eukaryota; Viridiplantae; Streptophyta; Magnoliopsida; Malvales; Malvaceae.
AAUGACAUACCUAACAAAAUAAACCAAGAGCCCUAUACAUGUCAUUGAACAAAAUAAAAGUACCUAUAUACCAAAGCUGGACUAGUUGAUAGUAUGUUGACUCUCCAACUGUCUUCCAAUCUUUACGAGUCAUCGAGCUCUGUAAGACAGGAAAAAAAGAGGGGUAAGCAUUUACAUGCUCAGUAAGCUCGAAUAACUGGAAAGUGAACUUACCUAUUAGCAUACAACCAUAUUAAGCAAAUAAGCCAACAAGAAUGAAAUAGUUUCCCUAUCACAUGUAUUCAAUCAACAAGUUAGUCACAAUAAUAAUGCACCAUGUAAUUUGUCUUAGAUGAGCUCAUCAUUCAUUAUUUCAUUUAUAUACAUCAUAUUAAUCUCGUUGAGUUUCUAGGAAAUCUCGAUAGAUUAUCCAUUAUCCGUCAAGGCAUAAGAAUGAUCAUUUCAAGUAUGCACUCCCGCGAAUCUCACAUCUUACGGCGGGAUUACCAGUCCAAGCUAAAUCCCCCGCAUCGUAAACUCAUAAGGUGAAGUCGAGAUUACCAGUCCAGGCUAAAUUCCUUAUAGCGACAAACACCCUUAAUGAGUUCGGAUCUGAAUUACCAGUCCAGGCUAAAUUCAGACCCUAAUCGGAUUACCCGUUCAGGAAAAAUCCACAAUGCACACAUAUUCUUAGGGAGGCUCGAUCACUCAAAGAACACUCGUCUGGGUUAGAUCCUUUUUAUAUUUGAGAUCAAUGGAUUACCCGUCUGGGGUAAAUCCUUUCUGCAACACAUGCAGGAUCUCAAGUCUCAUGUAAGCCAUGGUUUAUCCAUCAGAUGUCAUUUUUCAACCUCAACCAGGACAUUUAUCAACAUGUCAUUAUUAAGGAUGUAUUUCAUAUAUUUUCAUGCCAUCAUCAAAUGCAAUAACCAUACAUUCAUAAAUCAUGCAAUUAAACAUACUAUGAGUUUACUUUAAGAUAUUUGAACUUACCUGGUACUCGUCUCGGUAUCGUGUUUCGGUUAUUCUGAAACUUUUCAUUUUCCUCGAUCGACCUCUGAAAUUUGUUCCUCGAGGUCUAUAAUAAUAAAAAUAAAUGAAUAACACCUCACAUUGUACUUUUUGAGUCUAAAUUUCACCCCGGCUCCAAAUGACCAUUUUGCCCCUAACCUUUCACAUUUUCACGAUUUAGUCCUUAGGCUCGUAUAAUGGAAUGCAUGCAAUUUCUACAUUACCCAAGCCUAGCCAAAUGUUCUUUCCUCUUAUAGAAGACCACAUUUUUCCAUUAUUUCACAUUUCCACCUCACAUUUUACACCUUUUGCAAAAAGGUCCUUUUCAGGGUUGUUUCAUGAAAAUCACCUAGGAAAAUAUAUUUAACACACAUCCAACUUCCAUAUUCCUCCAUAAAACAUCAAAAUACAAGUAAAUCAUGCAUGGGUAAAUUUCUAAACAUGAUCCCUAGCGUGAAAUAUGGGUAGAAAUAGAGAGAGUAAGCUACCCGGAUUUUAAAAAUACGAAGAACAUUAAAAACGGGGCUUGAAAGCACUUACUAUUGAGCUUGAAAAUGUUGAAAACCUAGAUAUGGUGACUUUAGAAUUUAAGCUGGAGAAGGAAGAAGAAUGGUUGAUUUUUGUCUUCUUUUUUUCCAUUUUAUUUCAUUAAAUUGCCAAAUGACCAAAAUGCCUUUAUUUAAAAUUUCAUCCAUACAAGCCCAUUUUUGUCCAAAAACUUAGAAAUUGGGAAAAUUGCUCCUCAAGACCUUCUAAUUAAUAUUCUAAAGUAAUUUUGUACAAAUUUCUUCUAAAACCCAAGUGUUGCAAUUUAUUCAAUUUGGUCCCUAAUGUCUAAUUGGACACCUUACUCAAAGAAUUCCUUCAUGAAACUUUAACACUUGCAUAUUAUCAUAUUCUAGACCUCAUUAUAAUCAUAAAAUAAAUAUUCUGAUGUUAGAUUUGCAGUCUCAAAACCAUUAUUCUAACUAAGCCUUAUUUCAGGAUGUUACAGUAAUGCUUCUUUAAAUGGGCUCGGGUGUGUACUGAUGCAAAGUGGGAAAGUGAUAUGCUUCCCUGAAAUUGAAACCACAUGAACGUAAUUAUCUGACAUAUGAUCUGGAAUUAGCAGUUGUGAUUUUUGUUUUGAAAAUAUGGAGACACUAUUUAUACGGUAAAAAAUGUUACAUUUAUACAUAUCAAAAAAGUCUCAAGUAUCUUCUAUCACAGAAAAAGUUGAAUUUGAGGUAGCAUCGAUGGAUAGAACUUCUAAAAGAUUAUGAUUGUGUUAUUGAUUAUCAUCCAAGUAAAGCUAAUGUGUUAGCUGAUGCAUUGAGUAGGAAGGCAGCAAAUGAAUUGCGAGCGAUGUUUGCACAGCUCAAUAUUAAUGAUGAUGAAGGUUUAUUGGCUGAGUUAAGAAUUAAACCAGUGAUGUUUGAAUGAAUUAAGUCGCUUAAUUAGAAGAUGAUAAGCUAAUAAAGAAAAAAGAAAUGGUUCAGAGUGACAUAGUAGAGAAUUUUAGUAUUGAUGAACAUGAUUGUUUGAGAUACCGAGAUUGGAUUUGUAUUCCAAUAAAUUUAGAGAUUAAAGAAUUAAUUCUCUGAGAAGUACAUGACGGUCCAUUUGCUCUACACCCUGGAGGCACAAAGAUGUACCGUGAUUUACAAGAAUUGUACUGGUGGCCAAGGAUGAAAAAAGAUAGAGUUGAAUAUGUCAGUAAAUGCUUGGUUUGUCAGCGGGUGAAAGCAAAGCAUCAGGUUCCAACUGGUUUACUUUAGCCUAUUAACAUUCCUAAAUGGAAAUGGGACUGCAUCACAAUGGAUUUUGUAACAGGGUUGCCAUUGUCAGCAAGUAAGAAAAAUACUAUUUGGGUGAUUGUUGAUCGGCUUACAAAGUCAGCUCAUUUUAUAACAGUCAGAACGGAUUGGUCACUUCAGAAACUUACUAAAGUUUAUAUUCGGGAGAUAGUAUGAUUACAUGGUAUUCUAGUGUCAAUAAUUUCUGAUCGAGAUCUAUAGUUUACAUCUAGAUUUUAGAGGCAACUGCAUGAAUCUCUUGGUACUCAACUUAAUUUUAGCACAGCAUUCCAUCCACAGACCGAUGGACAAUCAGAACGAGUUAUUCAAAUUUUAGAAGAUAUACUUCGAGCUUGUCUUAUUGAUUUUGAAUCAGGUUGGGAACGUUAUCUACUGUUAGCUGAAUUUGUAUAUAAUAAUAGUUUUCAAUCAAGUAUUCAAAUGGCACCAUAUGAAGCUUUAUAUGGUCGGAGAUGUCGGUCACCAGUGUAUUGGACAGAAUUGAAUGAGAAGAAAAUGAUUGGGCCAGAAUUAAUUCAAGAAACAGAAGACACUGUUAAGAAGAUUCAACAGAGAUUAAAAGCAGCUUUUGACAGACAAAAGUCUUAUGCUAAUCUAAAACGUAGGGACAUUGAAUACUCAGUCGGGGAUAAAGUGUUUCUCAAAGUUUCUCCUUGGAAGAAAGUAUUAAGAUUUGGCCGAAAAGGAAAGUUAAGUCCUCAGUUUAUCGGGCCAUAUGAAGUUAUAGAGAGAAUUGAACCAGUUGCUUACCGAUUGGCUUUACCUCUAGAAUUACAUAAAAUUCAUGAUGUUUUUCAUGUUUCCAUGUUACGAAGGUAUCGAUCGGAUCCAUCUCAUAUUAUCUCUACUGAAGACAUUGAGAUUAGACCAGAUUUGUCAUAUGAAGAGGAACCAGUUCAAAUACUAGCUCGAGAAGUGAAAGAAAUAAGAAACAAAUGGGUCCCUCUGGUAAAAGUACUGUGGAGAAGCCAUAGUGUGGAAGAAGCAACAUGGGAACCGGAGAAAACUAUGAGAUCAUAGUAUCCUCACUUAUUUUCAGGUAAAAUUUCGAGGACGAAUUUUUUUUUUAAAGCGGGAGAGAAAUGUAACGACCUAAAAUCCGUGGGCACUGGAAAAGUAUAUUAUCAGGCCUUCGACGUAGUGAACUGGGUUUAAAAAUAAUUAUUAGGAGUAAUAAUGAGUUUAGUGGUAUGUGUAAUUAAAAUUUGAUUAAGUGAAUUUAGUUUAAUUUAGAGUAAUUAGUAAAAAGGAUUAAAUUGAAUAGAGUAUAAAAGUUUAAUUAUAAAGUAGAGAAAAAACAAAGGACUAAAUUAAUAAAUAAACCAUAGGAGUGGCAAGUGUAAGGUAAUAAUUAAAUACAAGUGUGAUAAUGAAAAUGAAUACAAAUGUAAAUUAAUAAAUAAUUUACUUAAAUUAUAAGUAAAAUAUAUUAUUAUUAUUAUUAAUGUUAAAUAAAUUAGAAUAACACAUGUAUGGUGAUGGUUAUAAACAUGUGCAAUAAAAAUAUGGAAACAAAGGUAAAAUAUAAGUUGAUAUUUAAAAGAUAUUAAUUAAAAUAAUAAUUAAUAAAGGUUAAUAAAACAUAAAAGAAACAAAUUGAAAAAGGAAAGAAGAAAAAGUUACAGAGAACUCACAAAAUAGAAAGAAGAAAUCGGGGAAAGAAAAGAAGAAAGGAAAAAUAGGGAUUUUGGGAUUCCAAGUUAAUUGGUAAGUUAAUUUUAGUCUUUUUCUUUUAAUUUUAAUAUUUUUAGAAUCCUAGAGUGAAAUACUCUUGGAUUUGAGUUGAAAUUUUGAAAGUUAAUGAUUUUUUUAGUAGGGUUUAUGUUGAACAAAUGAUGGAAUUGGGGGUUUAUUUGAUAGAAAUUUUGAUUGGAACUAAUUAAAUGAUUAAAUUGUAAACUGUGUCAUAAGUUUUAUGUUAUAGGGACUAAAUUGAUAGAAAUUUGAAAUUAUGAAAAUAUGAUGAAAGCUUGAUAGUUAAAUGUAAGUUUGGUAGGGAAUUGAGUAACAAAAAGAUAUGAAUUGAAGAAGAAAAAUAUAUGAGUUUAGUUAGGAUUAAAUUAGAAUUAAUGUAAAAGUUAAAAUAAAAAUUUCAGCAUUUAAAUUGUGUUAUGCUAAUAAUUGUGGAAUUAUUUUAAUUUUUCGUAGCUAAUAUCGAGCCUGAAGCAUCGGCCCAAAAAGGAAAAUAAAAGAUCAUCGAGGAUUAAAUUCGAAGAAAAUUCUGGUUUGUAUUACUAUAACUCAAGCUUUAUAAUUAAUAUGUGUUUAAUUUAAUAUGUAUGUGUGGUAAGUAUUUUAAGAUAAGUAUUUAAUGAACUGAUAAAAUUUGUGAUUGGGUAUUAAAAUUGUGAUUGAUACUGAACUGAAUUAUGGGAUACUGAAUAUUAUUUUGAAUACCGAAUUGAACUGUGAAAUUACUGAAUAUUGUUACGUAUACUACAUUGAAUUGUAAAAUUUCUGAUGAAACGAAUUAUUGUAUUACUGUGAAAAAUUGAUCGAAAUAAUAAAUUAUAAUUAAUAUUGAAUCGAAAUGAUAAUUGUACUGAAAAAUGAUUUGAAUACCCUAUUAAUUAGUCGGACUAGUCGGAUAUAAUUGGCAUGCCAUAGGAUAUGGAAGAGUACGGGUUUUUGCCAGCUUACUGAUCAGGCACUUAUGUGCUGACUACUGCUACUAUUACCGUUAUUGUUACCGUUACCGAUUCAACACUUUGUAUGUUGAAUACUAUUACUGUUACUGUUACUGCUACCGUUAUUGAUUACAGUUUAGGUAUUGUGUACCGUUAAGGCACAAUGUGCCAUACUGGUGUGUUGGUUGGAAUCAGUGUAUCCGUCGAGUUCGAGUCAAGUUAAUAGGGACAAAUGAAAUAAAUUUACUGAUAAAACUAAAUUUGAAUGAUAUGGCAUAUGUGAAAGGUGAGAAUUGCACUAAAGAAAUAAGAAUGAUAUAUAUAUUCAAAUGAUAACAUAAAAAGAUUGAAUUGUUCAUUAAGUGAUGAUAAUUGUAAUGUAAAACUAUGUGUGUGAUUUAAUGUAUUUAAUUAUAAAUUGAAUUAUAGUGAUACCACUGAGUAUAUACAUACUCAGCGUACGGUUGUUUCCGUGCGCAGGUUGUAGAAGUCAAGUACUGAACUAGCAUCCAAAGCCAAACCCGACUUCAGCAAACUUUUGGUGAUGCAUAUUUUCUUUUGGUAAUUUGGCAUGUAUAUAGGAUGUGUAUAAAAUUUAUUAUGUUUUGAAUAUAAAUGGUUAAAAAUGUUAGUAUUACAAGUCUAAGAAUUAUAAUGAAAGAAGUUUAUCCAUUUCAAUUUAAUUAGUACAUUGAUAAAUUUAAAUUGAUAUUAUAUUGAUUGAGUUUGAUUAGAAGGUAUUUAGAAUAAAAAAUGAGUAUGUGAAAUGAGUUGGUUGAAAUGGUUAUGUUUGAAAUGGAUACAAUUUUAAUUGCAGGGGGUUUUAUAUAAAAAUAAGCAGAAAUGCUGUUGAAAUUUAUAAAUAAAUAAAAAAUUCUAGAGUAUUUGAAUGAGUCCCGUUUCACUUUUAAUACAUGUUUUAGACUUCGAGAGUUCAUUGUAAGGAAUUAGUUAUUAAAUUAUACUAUGAAUGUUAUUUUAAUUGUGAAUUAUUCGUAAGUUGUUUAAUAUAUCCGGUAAUGUCUCGUAAUUCUGUUCUAGCGACGGUUCGAGGUUAGAGGAUAUUACAUUAUCUAUGUCAAAAUGAGGUCUACAUGGUACAUACUUACAAAGUCUUGGGUUCGUGAGAUUAUGAAUUUGCAAGUUCUCAAGAUUUUUAACUUCUUUAAUGGAAACUCACAAGAUGAUACUUUUUAGUCUAGUAGCAAAAUCAACCAAAUGCUAAAUGAACUUGCGAGCCGUAGGUCUACCAAAUUUAUUUUUUAACUUCAAAUUUUCCACUUUCAAAUUUAAUUUGAUAGUUAUAAUUUCAAGCUUGACUUAAUUAAAAUUUUAUAGCUCGAACAAUGGCUUUGAGUUAACUUUGUCUGUUUUACUUGAAAUAUAUUAUAUUUAAAAAUAAAAAUUAUUACUCAUUUUUAAGGGAUAAUGAUAAAAUUUACUCUUGUACUUUAAUAAAGUCGGCUUCAAUUUGUGGAAUUUAAUACUUGUAUUUUUGUUCCGUCUAUCAAUAUAGUACCUGAUGUUAAAUUCUAACCUCACCUGACACGUGGCCCAAUUUCACUUGCCAUGUGCAUUGUAUGUCAGGAAAAAAGUUCAUCCAAUCAAAGCAGGGGACUUUGAAAUAAUUAUUCCCUUUCAUAUCUCAAUAAAAAUAAAAUUUAACAAUAAAACUGCUUUCUGAAAUUCCUCUAGCCUUCCUCCUCAAAAAAAUACCGAAAUCCCAAACCCCAACUUCUCUAAAACCAAUUUCAUAAAAAUUUCUCUCAAAACUUGUUACUUGCGGGGAACACUAAAUCCUUACACUCUUCUAUCAAUGUCUUCUUCAUGAGUGGAAUUCCACUUUUUUGGUUAGAUAUUUGUUCUUCAACUUAGCUUGAAUAAAUACCUAGUUUCCCCCUUAAUAAUUCCCAUCAAAAUCACCUUUUUUCAAUUUUUUUAUUUGACUUUAAGUAUUAUUAUGACAGCAUGUUGCUUUGAUUUCCCUUGAGUUCCAACAGCAUGUUGCGGGCGAGGAGAUUGCUGCAAAGUUAUAAAAUGAAGAGAAUGGAUGCAAAUAUCCUUCACAAGAACCAAGAAAGCUCUCUGGGCUCAAGAAUCGCAAGAAAUUGCAUACAGAUUUCGUCUUUUCAAGGAGCCACUGAUUU